UGUAGGUGAACCUGCGGAAGGAUCAUUACCGAGUGAGGGCCCUCUGGGUCCAACCUCCCACCCGUGUUUAUUAUACCUUGUUGCUUCGGCGGGCCCGCCGUAUGGCCGCCGGGGGGCUUCUGCCCCCGGGCCCGCGCCCGCCGAAGACAUCUCGAACUCUGUCUGAAGAUUGUAGUCUGAGUAAAAAUAUAAAUUAUUUAAAACUUUCAACAACGGAUCUCUUGGUUCCGGCAUCGAUGAAGAACGCAGCGAAAUGCGAUACGUAAUGUGAAUUGCAAAAUUCAGUGAAUCAUCGAGUCUUUGAACGCACAUUGCGCCCUCUGGUAUUCCGGAGGGCAUGCCUGUCCGAGCGUCAUUGCUGCCCUCAAGCACGGCUUGUGUGUUGGGCUCCGUCCUCCGAUCCCGGGGGACGGGCCCGAAAGGCAGCGGCGGCACCGCGUCCGGUCCUCGAGCGUAUGGGGCUUUGUCACCCGCUCUGUAGGCCCGGCCGGCGCUUGCCGAUCAACCAAAUUUUUAUCCAGGUUGACCUCGGAUCAGGUAGGGAUACCCGCAGAACUUAAGCAUAUCAAUAAGCGGA
This 577-nucleotide ribosomal RNA is filed under the name uncultured Penicillium. RNAcentral describes it as "eukaryotic LSU rRNA". The stretch from base 202 to 355 matches the Rfam family "5.8S ribosomal RNA". The record is from RNAcentral. Lineage: Eukaryota; Fungi; Ascomycota; Eurotiomycetes; Eurotiales; Aspergillaceae.